Molecule: ribosomal RNA, 253 nt
Filed under: uncultured bacterium
Lineage: Bacteria
Description: partial 16S ribosomal RNA
Rfam family: Bacterial small subunit ribosomal RNA
Source: RNAcentral
GACGUAGGAGGCGAGCGUUGUCCGGAUUCAUUGGGCGUAAAGAGCACGCAGGCGGUUUGGCAAGUCGGAUGUGAAAACCCGGAGCUCAACUCCGGACCUGCAUCCGAAACUGCCCGACUAGAGGUAGGUAGGGGAGAUCGGAAUUCCUGGUGUAGCGGUGAAAUGCGCAGAUAUCAGGAGGAACACCGGUGGCGAAGGCGGAUCUCUGGGCCUUACCUGACGCUGAGGAGCGAAAGUGUGGGGAGCGAACAGG